CAAUAGCGUAUAUUUAAGUUGUUGCAGUUAAAAAGCUCGUAGUUGGAUUUUGGGUCGGGGCGUCCGGUCCGCCGUUCCGGUGUGUACUGGGCGCCCCUUCCUUUCUGCCGGGGACCGCCUGGGGCUUUAAGUAGCUCGAGGCGGGAGUCGGCGUUGUUACUUUGAAAAAAUUAGAGUGUUCAAAGCAAGCCAUCGCUCUGAAUACAUUAGCAUGGAAUAACAUGAUAGGACUCUGCUCUUAUUUUGUUGGUUUCCGAGACUGGAGUAAUGAUUAAGAGGGACAGUCGGGGGCAUCCGUAUUUCAUUGUCAGAGGUGAAAUUCUUGGAUUUAUGAAAGACGAACUUCUGCGAAAGCAUUUGCCAAGGAUGUUUNCAUUAA
Molecule: ribosomal RNA, 379 nt
Filed under: uncultured eukaryote
Lineage: Eukaryota
Description: partial 18S ribosomal RNA
Rfam family: Eukaryotic small subunit ribosomal RNA
Source: RNAcentral